GGGUUGUGAGGUUAAGCGACUAAGCGUACACGGUGGAUGCCCUGGCAGUCAGAGGCGAUGAAGGACGUGCUAAUCUGCGAUAAGCGCCGGUAAGGUGAUAUGAACCGUUAUAACCGGCGAUUUCCGAAUGGGGAAACCCAGUGUGACUCGUCACACUAUCAUUAACUGAAUCCAUAGGUUAAUGAGGCGAACCGGGGGAACUGAAACAUCUAAGUACCCCGAGGAAAAGAAAUCAACCGAGAUUCCCCCAGUAGCGGCGAGCGAACGGGGAGGAGCCCAGAGCCUGAAUCAGCAUGUGUGUUAGUGGAAGCGUCUGGAAAGGCGCGCGAUACAGGGUGACAGCCCCGUACACAAAAGCGCAUGUGCUGUGAGCUCGAUGAGUAGGGCGGGACACGUGGUAUCCUGUCUGAAUAUGGGGGGACCAUCCUCCAAGGCUAAAUACUCCUGACUGACCGAUAGUGAACCAGUACCGUGAGGGAAAGGCGAAAAGAACCCCGGCGAGGGGAGUGAAAAAGAACCUGAAACCGUGUACGUACAAGCAGUGGGAGCACCCUUUGGGGUGUGACUGCGUACCUUUUGUAUAAUGGGUCAGCGACUUAUAUUCUGUAGCAAGGUUAACCGAAUAGGGGAGCCGGAGGGAAACCGAGUCUUAAUUGGGCGUUAAGUUGCAGGGUAUAGACCCGAAACCCGGUGAUCUAGCCAUGGGCAGGUUGAAGGUUGGGUAACACUAACUGGAGGACCGAACCGACUAAUGUUGAAAAAUUAGCGGAUGACCUGUGGCUGGGGGUGAAAGGCCAAUCAAACCGGGAGAUAGCUGGUUCUCCCCGAAAGCUAUUUAGGUAGCGCCUCGUGAAUUCAUCUCCGGGGGUAGAGCACUGUUUCGGCUAGGGGGCCAUCCCGGCUUACCAACCCGAUGCAAACUGCGAAUACCGGAGAAUGUUAUCACGGGAGACACACGGCGGGUGCUAACGUCCGUCGUGAAGAGGGAAACAACCCAGACCGCCAGCUAAGGUCCCAAAGUCAUGGUUAAGUGGGAAACGAUGUGGGAAGGCCCAGACAGCCAGGAUGUUGGCUUAGAAGCAGCCAUCAUUUAAAGAAAGCGUAAUAGCUCACUGGUCGAGUCGGCCUGCGCGGAAGAUGUAACGGGGCUAAACCAUGCACCGAAGCUGCGGCAGCGACGCUGAUGCGUUGUUGGGUAGGGGAGCGUUCUGUAAGCCUGUGAAGGUGGCCUGUGAGGGUUGCUGG
RNAcentral lists this ribosomal RNA (1245 nucleotides) under Salmonella enterica. Its description in RNAcentral is "partial 23S ribosomal RNA". It matches the Rfam family "Bacterial large subunit ribosomal RNA", at positions 1 to 1276 of the family's 2925-position model. The record is from RNAcentral. Lineage: Bacteria; Pseudomonadati; Pseudomonadota; Gammaproteobacteria; Enterobacterales; Enterobacteriaceae.